This 443-nucleotide ribosomal RNA is filed under the name uncultured bacterium. RNAcentral's name for it is "partial 16S ribosomal RNA". It matches the Rfam family "Bacterial small subunit ribosomal RNA", at positions 338 to 795 of the family's 1533-position model. The record is from RNAcentral.
CCUACGGGUGGCAGCAGUGAGGAAUAUUGGUCAAUGGCCGGAAGGCUGAACCAGCCAAGCCGCGUGAAGGACGAAGGUGCCACGCAUUGUAAACUUCUUUUGACAGGGAAGAGCAGAAGACGGUACCUGUCGACUAAGCCACGGCUAACUACGUGCCAGCAGCCGCGGUAAUACGUAGGUGGCAAGCGUUGUCCGGAUUUACUGGGUGUAAAGGGCGUGUAGCCGGGCUGACAAGUCAGAUGUGAAAUCCGGGGGCUCAACCCCCGAACUGCAUUUGAAACUGUUGGUCUUGAGUAUCGGAGAGGCAGGCGGAAUUCCUAGUGUAGCGGUGAAAUGCGUAGAUAUUAGGAGGAACACCAGUGGCGAAGGCGGCCUGCUGGACGACAACUGACGGUGAGGCGCGAAAGCGUGGGGAGCAAACAGGAUUAGAUACCCUUGUAGUC